GACGAACGGUGCAACCGUUGUUCGGAAUUAUUGGGCUUAAAGGGCGCGUAGGCGGUCGACCAAGUCCGGGGUGAAAUCUUUCGGCUUAACCGGAAAAGUGCCUUGGAUACUGGCCGGCUGGAGGGAGGUAGGGGCAGGUGGAACUUCCAGUGGAGCGGUGAAAUGCGUUGAUAUUGGAAGGAACGCCGGUGGCGAAAGCGACCUGCUGGACCUCUACUGACGCUGAGGCGCGAAAGCUAGGGGAGCAAACGGG
Molecule: ribosomal RNA, 253 nt
Filed under: uncultured bacterium
Lineage: Bacteria
Description: partial 16S ribosomal RNA
Rfam family: Bacterial small subunit ribosomal RNA
Source: RNAcentral